GUGACCUCAAAUCAGGUAGGACUACCCGCUGAACUUAAGCAUAUCAAUAAGCGGAGGAAAAGAAACUAACAAGGAUUCCCCUAGUAACUGCGAGUGAAGCGGGAAAAGCUCAAAUUUAAAAUCUGGCGGUCUUUUGGCUGUCCGAGUUGUAAUCUAGAGAAGUGUUAUCCGCGCUGGACCGUGUACAAGUCUCCUGGAAUGGAGCAUCAUAGAGGGUGAGAAUCCC
RNAcentral lists this ribosomal RNA (226 nucleotides) under uncultured fungus. Its description in RNAcentral is "partial 28S ribosomal RNA". It matches the Rfam family "Eukaryotic large subunit ribosomal RNA", at positions 1 to 222 of the family's 3401-position model. Lineage: Eukaryota; Fungi. The record is from RNAcentral.